GUGCCAGCCGCCGCGGUAAUACGGAGGGUGCAAGCGUUGUCCGGAUUUAUUGGGUUUAAAGGGUGCGUAGGCGGCUGAAUAAGUCAGCGGUGAAAGACUUCGGCUUAACCGGAGCAGUGCCGUUGAUACUGUUUAGCUUGAGUGUUGGAGGGGUACAUGGAAUUGAUGGUGUAGCGGUGAAAUGCAUAGAUACCAUCAGGAACACCGAUAGCGAAGGCAUUGUACUGGCCAACAACUGACGCUGAGGCACGAAAGUGUGGGGAUCGAACAGGAUUAGAUACCCUGGUAGUCCACACCGUAAACGAUGAUUACUCGCUGUUAUGGUGUAUGCUGUAGCGGCCAAGCGAAAGCGUUAAGUAAUCCACCUGGGGAGUACGCCGGCAACGGUGAA
This 391-nucleotide ribosomal RNA is filed under the name uncultured bacterium. RNAcentral describes it as "bacterial SSU rRNA". It matches the Rfam family "Bacterial small subunit ribosomal RNA", at positions 505 to 898 of the family's 1533-position model. The record is from RNAcentral.